Molecule: ribosomal RNA, 130 nt
Filed under: Coccinia grandis x Coccinia pwaniensis
Lineage: Eukaryota; Viridiplantae; Streptophyta; Magnoliopsida; Cucurbitales; Cucurbitaceae
Description: partial 18S ribosomal RNA
Rfam family: Eukaryotic small subunit ribosomal RNA
Source: RNAcentral
AGUGUUCGGAUCGCGGCGACGUGGGCGGUUCGCUGCCCGCGACGUCGCGAGAAGUCCACUGAGCCUUAUCAUUUAGAGGAGGGAGAAGUCGUAACAAGGUUUCCGUAGGUGAACCUGCGGAAGGAUCAUU